UACAGAGGGUGCGAGCGUUAAUCGGAAUUACUGGGCGUAAAGCGCACGUAGUCGGCUUUGCAAGUCGGUUGUGAAAUCCCCGGGCUCAACCUGGGAACUGCAUCCGAGACUGCAUUGCUAGAGUAUGGGAGAGGAAAGCGGAAUUUCUGGUGUAGCAGUGAAAUGCGCAGAUAUCAGGAAGAACACCCGUGGCUAAGGCGGUUCUCUAGUACGGUACUGACGCUGAGACGCGAAAGCGUGGGGAGCGAACAGG
This 253-nucleotide ribosomal RNA is filed under the name uncultured bacterium. RNAcentral describes it as "partial 16S ribosomal RNA". It matches the Rfam family "Bacterial small subunit ribosomal RNA", at positions 524 to 776 of the family's 1533-position model. The record is from RNAcentral.